GAAGUAAAAGUCGUAACAAGGUCUCCGUUGGUGAACCAGCGGAGGGAUCAUUAU
RNAcentral lists this ribosomal RNA (54 nucleotides) under Ophiocordyceps robertsii. RNAcentral's name for it is "partial 18S ribosomal RNA". It matches the Rfam family "Eukaryotic small subunit ribosomal RNA", at positions 1779 to 1831 of the family's 1831-position model. RNAcentral also lists the same sequence under 1 other name. The record is from RNAcentral. Lineage: Eukaryota; Fungi; Ascomycota; Sordariomycetes; Hypocreales; Ophiocordycipitaceae.